ACACAGUUUUCGCUGAAAACUACUUGAAAACUUACAUUCCACUCAUCAUCGGUGCCUGCUCUAGUUUAAUCGAUGUUUUUGGAAGACAUAUUUUGCCGGCCCUAAAUUGUCACUUGAUAUUUGUUUACAUUUCAUAUACAAAAACAGCUGUCGCUUGAUAUUCUCAUAUUAGGGGGAUUCUCUUGCUCUUGCAAAACCUUGCACGGUGCAGAAAUUGCAGAAUUUUCCUCUUUGUGCAACGGCAUAACAACAAACACACGCAGUAAAUUAUUAGCAAUGGCUAUAAAUAUAUCAGACCAAAACCCACGUUUAUUUCCGUGCCGUCAUAUAUCACUAGAUUCUGCAAUGGGUGCUCUCUUGGCCUUGCAUAUUUCGGUUUAGGAUUUUUGCAUUUUGUGUCAUCAUGCAAUCUUGCAAGAGCAAUAGAAUGCCGCUAUUGAUAGUUGCCAGUGAAAACUCAUCGAAAACACACAUUGUCGGUCCGAACGACUUAGAUUCCACAACAUACAAAUGUGUUUUCAAAACGUUUUCAAUGUCGGUCCGAACAUAGUAUAAAGGAAAAAUUUCCGAUUCAACUAUCGUCGCCAACAUCGCCAAUGUUAAAAUUGUGUUGCGUCCUUAGAUUUUUUGCUCAUAGGAGCUAUCAGCAGACAGUGGGAAAUGAUUUUCAAUUAGGUAUUACGCAGCCCAACGAAACAGAUUUUGAUGGAAAUGCUCCCAUUAUUGGAAUCCACUCUUUCCAGUGUCUGGAUCAAAACCGACAUAAAUGAAGAGCAAAAACAACUAACAAGAAGGAAAAUGUUCACCAGAUCAAGAAUUCCGCUAACAUAUAUAUACAAAUCGAAAAAUAUUUUACUAAACAAAUAAAUAAAAUAAAUUACUUAUUAUUA
Long non-coding RNA from Bactrocera neohumeralis, 890 nucleotides. RefSeq lists it as uncharacterized. The record is from RefSeq and is a predicted model, not a curated record. The transcript is spliced from 2 exons. NCBI's taxonomy places the organism in Eukaryota, Metazoa, Arthropoda, Insecta, Diptera, Tephritidae.